This 25038-nucleotide long non-coding RNA is filed under the name Lactuca sativa (garden lettuce). RNAcentral describes it as "long non-coding RNA (LSAT_LNC004020)". The record is from RNAcentral. Lineage: Eukaryota; Viridiplantae; Streptophyta; Magnoliopsida; Asterales; Asteraceae.
UAAUUAUUGAUCAAUACUAAUUAAAUAAUACUAUUAAUAUAUUAGGACUUAUAAUAUAUUAAUAAACCAUAAGUGUUAUUUCUCUCAUUUUAGUCUAUCCAAAUGCAUGAUGCCAUGCAACCCAAAUGGACCAUGUUGAUCGAGUCAAGUACAUCCUAGAAUAGUUAUGAACUUAGACACCUAAUCCAAUAGUCUCCCACUUGGAUAAGUCUAAUAACUAUAUCUGCAAGAAUAACUUCAGGAACCGAUCAUCAAUCGUAGCUGUUUCAAGGUCUCGCAGAACUGAGAUGACGAUGAUAUUCCAUUUAAGAUAAGUGAUCAUAUAAUCCUAUGUUCUAGAUAUCAGCCGGACAAAUACAUGGAACAAUGUCUUACUUAUUGUCCAGCUGUUUGUUUCCAGAUUUCCGAUUUGUUUGACUUAGAGCUUAAGUGAAUAGAUCAACUUAGUUCUGACCAGGCCCGAUACAUGUGUAACAUCCCAAAAUUCAAGGCCAAAAAUUUAAUUUUUAAAUAAAUUAUAACAUAAAAACCAUCGGUAUAAAAACAUUCAUGAUGAUAUCUCAUGUCACAACCAAUGUCUCAAUAAUCCAAAACAUGUCACCAUAAAAUCAUUUUGUCCAAAAGUAAAAUAAAUCAGAGUACAUUCCCAGGAAAAUCCAUGUGGAAAACAUGUGUGUGUGAUGCGUUGCUACACCACUGGCUCCUUCCCCUUAGACGAAGACGUACCUGAAACCAAAAAUAAAACUAUAAGCACGAAGCUUAGUGAGAUCCCCCAUCAUACCCAUAGCACAUAAUCAUCAGUAUCUUUCAACCGUAACCAAGGCUAGGGCACCCUACUACUACUAGCACGUACUCAACACAGAUAUAGCAACCAGAAAAUCAUCACAAAGAUAACCAUCUCAACCAUAAUCACCUACUGGUGGGCCGGCAUUGGUGCCGUAUACCCACCCCUACUGGAAGGUGACUCACCUCGUAAGGUUAACUGCUGAAAGGCUGAUCAACAGAUGUACGACUGCUGCUCAGGUGAUCCUUUGGCUAUAAUUCCCAUAAAACACUUAGUCAGACACUGAUAACUAUUCUUAGGGAAAAAUGACUACUGUAACACCGUAAAUUUCAAAACAAUUUUUUGCAUUUUAUAAAAACACAAAUCAUUUAACAUUCAUAAAAGCAUUAAUAUUUGAAACUCAAUCGAUACUACAUAAAAAUCCGAAGAUCUGAUAACAUAAAAAUCCCGUGUGUGUGUACUGAUCAAGUCGGCGCCUUCCCAUGGUCAUCACUAGUACCUGAAACAAAUAACACCAACAUUGUAAGCACAAAUCUUAGUGACUUCUCCAAAAUACCACACAUAACACAUAUUAGCCACUCGAGGCUCUAACUCUGUGGGUCCGUAGACCCUACUCUGUGAACCCUCUGGUUCUAAUCUCUGUGAACCUUCCGGUUCCAACUCUAUAAACAUGCACAUCAUAAAUCACAUAGAAAUAAUGCAGUACAACACAUAACAUACAUAUAGCAUACAAAUACUCUGUCACAUAACUCUGAUUACCUACUCAAGGUAAAGUAUAGUGAGAAGACUCACCUCGCGUAUCUCGAUAACUCGCAAAUCCCAGAAAUCACUCGCGCUCGAUCCCCCGAGCUAUAAUCCUCCUAUAACACAAUACAUCUCUAAUUAACACUUUCACAACUAAGGUUGACUACCCCUAUCAAGUCAACACUGGUCGAUGGUCAACGGUCAACUUUGACCAGACUCGGCGAGUGCACUAUAGCGACUCGGCGAGUCUAUACGUAUCCACUGAUUCCCUGGGAUCCUCUCUCGACACGUCGAGUAUUUUCCUAACUCGACGAGUUCCACCUGGCAUGAGUUGCGGGGCCACCACGACUCAACUCGCCGAGUCUCAAGAACAACUCGGCGAGUUCCAGCUUGACUCAGUCCACCUGUCAACCCUCUCUGACUCUCCCUGACUCACUGAGUCAACCCCUUAACUCGGCAAGACCACUCGCUGAGUGGUUAUGGACAAUCUUCAUGCUACUCGCCGAGUCUGUUCUUCGGACUCGGCGAGUCUAUGCCAUGCAUAAACUCAAACUCACUCCUGAGGUCAGAUCCGUUCCAAUAACUCAUAGAUCCAGUCCUUCCAAGCACAUACAUCACGUAAAGUUACAAUCUUGGUGCUCAUGCAAAGGUCCAAAGGCCUUAUUUGAUGAUAUGGUCUCUAGAAUGCUAUUCUAAGCUCAUGGCCUCCAUUAACACUCAUAAAGCUUGAGGGAAAAGAGUCUCUGGACCUCUUUGGGUCCAGAUCUAAAGCACCAACACAAGAAGAGGCCAAUUACUCCAUGGAUCAUUCCACAAAGAAACCCUAACUCUAAGAUUUACACCAAGGACUGAGAAAGGAACGAAUGGUUACCUCAAAUGAAGUCUCUGAGCUCAGGAAUCACUGGAUUAGCACCUUCUUUGGUCUCCUCUUGCCUUGAUCCUCUUCUAUAUGCAAAAACACCCACAAAUAGUCAAGGAUCUUCCUCUUCUCUCUCACAAAACGCUCAAAGACUCUUUAGGGUUCUCUCUGGGGUUGGUGGCCGCAAAUGACGGCCAUAAGCCCCUUUAAAUAGGUCUCAUACCCUGGAAAUUAGGGUUUCAUUAAACAGCGUGGACUCGCCGAGUCCACCUUUUGGACUCGCCGAGUCCGGACGCGAACCCUUGCCCAAACCGCGAUCAUACUCGGCGAGUUUGAGCUCCAACUCGCCGAGUCUCCUCACAAAUCACCAAAAAUUAUAAGAAUAAAUAAUACCUGGGAAUCCGGGCUGUUACAAUUCUCCCCCACUAGAACUAGACUUCGCCCUCGAAGUCUCGCUCUGCAAAUAACUCCGGAUGCUGCUCACGCAUCUCACGCUCCGGCUCCCAAGUCAUCUCGGACCCCUUCCGAUGCUGCCACUGAACCAAAACCAAGGGUACCUCCUUGUUCCUCAGAACCUUGAUUUUUCGAUCUCUGAUCGCCACUGGUCUCUCAGCAUAAUUCAGGCUCGCAUCCACCUGAAUAUCCUCUAAUGGAACCACUGCCGACUCAUCGGCUAUACAUUUCCUCAGUUGCGACACAUGAAAAGUGUCGUGAAUCUGCCCCAACUCUGCUGGCAAAUCCAAACGAUAGGCUACCCGGCCUACCCUCGCGAUCACUCGGAAUGGACCAAUAUAUCGGGGCCCCAACUUGCCCCUCUUCCUGAAUCGAAUCACUCCUUUCCAAUGAGAGACCUUCAGGAGCACAAGGUCGCCGACCUGAAACUCAAGCUCGGACCGGCAUCUGUCUGCAUAACUCUUUUGACGACUCUGAGCGGUCAAUAACCUCUGUCUGACUUGCUGGAUCUACUCUGUCGUCUGAAGCACGAUAUCUGUACUGCCCAUCACACGCUGUCCAACCUCUCCCCAGCAAAUGGGGGUCCGACACCUCCUCCCAUACAAAUGCUCAAAGGGUGGCAUACCAAUGCUCGAAUGAUGUCUGUUGUUGUAGGAAAACUCUGCCAAGGGAAAGUACGUAUCCUAACUUCCCCCGAAAUCCAACACACACUCCCGGAGCAUGUCUUCGAGCGUCUGAAUCGUCCGCUCACUCUGUCCGUCUGUCUGGGGGUGAUAUGCGGUACUAGAAUGCAGUCUAGUACCCAACUCCUUGUGAAACUUCUUCCAGAAUUUGGAAGUGAAACGCACAUCACGGUCUGAAACAAUCGAGAUCGACACUCCAUGCCGAGACACCACUUCCCUCACAUACACCUCUGCCAAUUUCUCUGCUGACGAACUCUUGCUGAUAGCAAGAAAGUGAGUUCUCUUCGUCAACCUGUCCACAAUCACCCAAAUUGCAUCAACUCCCCUGGCAGUCCUUGGCAAUUUGGUGAUAAAAUCCAUGGUGAUAUGUUCCCACUUCCAUUCGGGAACCUCCAACGGUUGCAACUUACCAUGCGGCCUCUGGUGCUCGGCCUUAACCCUACGACAGGUCAAGCACCUCUCAACAAACCACGCAACAUCCCUCUUCAUACAGGGCCACCAAUACUCUUUCCUCAGGUCCAAAUACAUCUUAGUGGCCCCAGGAUGGAUCGAAAAUUUCGACCGAUGAGCCUCUUCCAUCAAAAUGGUACGCGUUCCUCCCACAAACGGCACCCAGAUACGCCCCUGGAAUGUCAUAAGCCCCCGACCAUCGGUAACGAACUCUGAAAUCAAUCCAACAACUCGCUCUUUCUUCUGCAUCUCAGGUUGCACAGCCUCGGCCUGUGCCCCACGAAUGGCGUCCAACACUGGAGCUAUCACGGUCAAUCUCAAACAUACAUCCCGCAGCGGGGUGCUCUCCGCCCUGCGGCUCAGUGCAUCAGCUACAACAUUAGCCUUGCCUGGGUGGUACAGGAUCUCACAAUCAUAAUCCUUGACCACAUCCAACCACCUUCUCUGUCGCAUAUUUAGGUUGGGCUGAUCCAUCAAAUACUUCAAACUCUUAUGGUCCGUGUAUAUCGUACACCGAACCCCAUACAGGUAGUGACGCCAAAUCUUGAGGGCGAACACCACUGCCCCCAACUCUAGAUCAUGGGUGGGAUAUCUCGACUCAUGAGGCUUCAGCUGCCUCGAUGCGUAUGCUAUCACAUGCCCUCUCUGCAUCAACACCGCUCCCAACCCCAAGAUCGAUGCAUCACAGUAUACCACAAAGUCCUCCAUCCCCUCCGGGAGGGCUAACACCGGGGCUUCGCAUAACCUUUGGCGAAGCGUCUCAAAGGAGGCCUGCUGCUCGGGGCCCCAUGAAAAAGCGACACCCUUCCGGGUCAACCUGGUGAGUGGCACUGCGAUCUUAGAGAAAUCCUUGAUAAAUCUCCGAUAAUAACCUGCCAACCCUAGGAAACUCCUGAUCUCGGAGGGUGACCUCGGCACCUCCCAACUCAUCACCGCCUCAACUUUGGCCGGGUCGACCAAUAUCCCUUUCUGGUUAACGAGAUGACACAAGAACUGGACCUCUCGCAACCAGAAAUCUCACUUGGAGAAUUUGGCAUAAAGCCUAUCCACUCUCAGAACUCCGAGGAUCUCCCUCAAAUGCUCCUCAUGCUGCUCUCUAGAUCUCGAACACACCAAAAUAUCGUCAAUAAAUACAAUCACUGACCGAUCCAGCAUCGGCCUGCACACUCGGUUCAUGAGAUCCAUGAACACUGCAGGGGCAUUGGUGAGCCCGAAAGGCAUCACCACAAACUCGUAAUUCCCAUAACGCGUCCUGAACGAUGUCUUAUGGACGUCCUCAUCUCGCACCCUCACCUGACGAUAUCUAGACCUCAAAUCGAUCUUGGAGAACCAAGAUGCUCCAUGUAACUGAUCGAACAAAUCGUCGAUCCUCGGCAAAGGGUAACGGUUCUUGACCGUCAGCUUGUUCAACUCCGAGUAAUCAAUGCACAUCCGGUGUGAACCAUCCUUCUUCUUGACAAACAGGAUAGGCACUCCCCAUGGCGAGCUGCUCGGCCGAAUAAACCCCUUCCCCAGCAGCUCCUGAAGCUGCGAGGAUAACUCUUGCAUCUCUGGAGGUGCAAGGCGAUAAGGCACCUUAGCGAUAGGCGCAGCCCCCGGAACCAAAUCGAUCGGGAAAUCAACACCGAAAAUCUCGAACAAGCACCCCCGGAGAACCUCUGUGGCAUAUAUCACCCUCUCGUCAGCUAUGGAAACUCUCAGAGGCCGACUCAAUGCCUCACGACUAACACUGAUAUGCUGACUAAAGGCCAAAGACACAAAAGACCGACUCGCACCCGAGUCAAAUAACACUAAGACAGGUACAGAAUUCACAAGAAAAGUACCUACGCAUAACAUAAUNGUCAACAUAAAAAUAAAUACACGAUAGAAUACAUACCAUCCACGACAUCGGGCACUGCGCGGACCUCCUCCGCAGUCAACUGAAAGGCUCUCCCUCGUGCCCUCGGCGCCUCGGCCUUCACUGGCCGACUCUCGGUAGCUCUGAUGGCGGCAGGGGCAGAUCCCUGAGGUGCUCCCUGAGAUGAUCCUCGCAAUUGCGGAAACUCUGCCUUCCGUUGUCUGGUCUGGUUGCAGUAGAAACACACCGCAAACCCCUUGGGGUAGUCCUUGGCCAUAUGCCCCUCCUAGCCACAUUUGUAGCACGAUCCCGCUCUACAGACUCUAUCAUGACCCUUACCGCACUUCCCACAAGUGUGGCCCUUCUGGCUCCCUGAUUUGGGAUCAGCGGGCUUGGCCCGCUUGGCUGCCGGCUGAGACUGCGCCAGUCGCCGAUCCCUCCCCUGAGACUUCGCCUUCUCCCUGGCUUGAGUCUCUAGCUCAAUCUCACUUUUCCGGGCAUUUGCCUGAAGCUCGGGAAAUGUCCGGUACGAGGAGUUCGCCACGAACUCCCGAAUGUCUCGCCUCAAGAUACUCAAAUAUCGGCUCAUACGUGCCUGCUCAGUGGACACGUGCUCAGGGCAGAACAUCGCCCUCUCGUGGAACAUCCUGGUAAUCACCGUAACAAACUCAGUACCCUGCUUGAGGGUCAGAAACUCCUGGGCCAAACGCUCCCUCUCCACCUGGGGAACGUACUCAUCUCGGAACAUGGCAGUGAACCUCUCCCAGGUCACUGCCGCAAGCUCAGCAGGCGUAAAGUGCGCCGUCACAAACUUCCACCAGUCCUUCGCUCCCAAGCGAAGCUGGUUCAGCGCGAACCGUACUCUCAAAUGCUCAGGAGAUGAGCAAGUGAAGAAACACCCCUCUAUGUCAAAAAUCCAUCUCAUAGCUGCCACCGUGUCCUGGGUCCCAUCAAACUCUGGCGGCUUUAUGUUGCUGAACUCUCGGAACAGCAAUGUAUCACCACCCUGCGGCCUCGCGGCAGCAAUAGCUACGGUGGCCGCNNNNNNNNNNNNNNNNNNNNNNNNNNNNNNNNNNNNNNNNNNNNNNNNNNNNNNNNNNNNNNNNNNNNNNNNNNNNNNNNNNNNNNNNNNNNNNNNNNNNAUGUACACUUAGGAAGUGUUAGAAUGCUCAAAACCCAACACAAACCGCUACUAUUCGACGAGUUGGGCCAUCAACUCGCCGAGUCUCAAUCCAAAUUGUGAAAAAUACUUGAAUGAAAUACAUACCAGGAACCGGGUGCUACAACAUGGGUCAACACAAAAUCAUCGACAUGCCCAAAUAUCUCUUCUAAUCCAAGAAGGAACAGAUAAACUUCGACUCAUAUGCUUGUUCUUCUACUCGUUGAAUCAUACACAAAGGAACGUUUUAUAGAGUCGAGUUACCAAUGCGUUUUCGUACGAUCAAUGCAUAACCAACUCAUAGGAAACAAGUCAUAUCUCUAGGUUUGAAGACUUAUAUGAUAUUACAGUCUCACGAUCACUCGAGAUAAAUUCCAUGAAGUGAUACCAGUGAGCGUAGGUUGAAUCCAAUACUCAGAACUUAUGAGCACUCAUGAGUGUUGUAGUACCACUUUGUCCAACAUAUUAGACCUCUAUAAGCCAACCCAUGACCGUCUUGAUUCAUAUCUACUUCCAACAUAUGACCGACUGUGGAUGGUUUGAAUAACUUAGUCAUUCAGGAAAAGCGACUUAGUUAUUCUGGAAGUCAAAACAUGAAAAGUGAAACACAAGAAUAAUCGAAUCCAAUAUGGACUCAAAACUUAUUAAUAUAAAUAAAACAUCUUUUAUUUAUAACCAUAUUGAUUACCCAUCAUUCAUUGCAUACUGUUUCAAACUAUCACCUUUAUACUUGCAUUAAAAAACAAUAGUUGUCCCAUGCUCCAAGCAUGUACACUAUGUUUUUCUAAACACUAGUCAUGCCAUACAGCAAGUAUGCACACUAUGUUUUUUUCCUAUGAUCUUUACUUUGUGCAAUAGAUCGAUUGAACAUAAUUCCAGUGAUACUCAUUUCACAAUCCCAAAUCCUUACCGCAAAUGCAAGAAUUCCAAAUUCCUGCCAUUAACCUAGAUCUGUUAGAUUCUAAACUUAUAUGCAUUGGUCCUCUUGUAAUGAUUAUGCACAAAGUCACAAAGACUUGUCAACAAACAUUACAUAGUAUUCCAAUAGAGAUUAACUCCAUGGAAACGAAGUCUUAUAUUCAAAGUUCAUUGCCUUUGAACAUUCUUCUUGCAUUAAGUUUCCUAAUCUUACACAGAUUUAAUGAGUACCUUCCACCUAUGGGAACAUUUCCAUAUUCCCCUUUCGACUAUUACUCUUGAACAAAAGUUGCCUCUUUUCAGAUUAUGAAAAGGGAUGCUGUAAUCAUAAUCGAAUUUUAGAACGCAAAUAAUGGACCCAUAUAUAGAAUUUCCUUAUGUUGAGCCACUCCAACAUAAAAUUCAUAUAUAUAUAUAUAUAUAUAUAUAUAUAUAUAUAUCCUUGACUAAAGAUGAUUAAAACCUCAAUCUAANNNNNNNNNNNNNNNNNNNNNNNNNNNNNNNNNNNNNNNNNNNNNNNNNNNNNNNNNNNNNNNNNNNNNNNNNNNNNNNNNNNNNNNNNNNNNNNNNNNNNNNNNNNNNNNNNNNNNNNNNNNNNNNNNNNNNNNNNNNNNNNNNNNNNNNNNNNNNNNNNNNNNNNNNNNNNNNNNNNNNNNNNNNNNNNNNNNNNNNNNNNNNNNNNNNNNNNNNNNNNNNNNNNNNNNNNNNNNNNNNNNNNNNNNNNNNNNNNNNNNNNNNNNNNNNNNNNNNNNNNNNNNNNNNNNNNNNNNNNNNNNNNNNNNNNNNNNNNNNNNNNNNNNNNNNNNNNNNNNNNNNNNNNNNNNNNNNNNNNNNNNNNNNNNNNNNNNNNNNNNNNNNNNNNNNNNNNNNNNNNNNNNNNNNNNNNNNNNNNNNNNNNNNNNNNNNNNNNNNNNNNNNNNNNNNNNNNNNNNNNNNNNNNNNNNNNNNNNNNNNNNNNNNNNNNNNNNNNNNNNNNNNNNNNNNNNNNNNNNNNNNNNNNNNNNNNNNNNNNNNNNNNNNNNNNNNNNNNNNNNNNNNNNNNNNNNNNNNNNNNNNNNNNNNNNNNNNNNNNNNNNNNNNNNNNNNNNNNNNNNNNNNNNNNNNNNNNNNNNNNNNNNNNNNNNNNNNNNNNNNNNNNNNNNNNNNNNNNNNNNNNNNNNNNNNNNNNNNNNNNNNNNNNNNNNNNNNNNNNNNNNNNNNNNNNNNNNNNNNNNNNNNNNNNNNNNNNNNNNNNNNNNNNNNNNNNNNNNNNNNNNNNNNNNNNNNNNNNNNNNNNNNNNNNNNNNNNNNNNNNNNNNNNNNNNNNNNNNNNNNNNNNNNNNNNNNNNNNNNNNNNNNNNNNNNNNNNNNNNNNNNNNNNNNNNNNNNNNNNNNNNNNNNNNNNNNNNNNNNNNNNNNNNNNNNNNNNNNNNNNNNNNNNNNNNNNNNNNNNNNNNNNNNNNNNNNNNNNNNNNNNNNNNNNNNNNNNNNNNNNNNNNNNNNNNNNNNNNNNNNNNNNNNNNNNNNNNNNNNNNNNNNNNNNNNNCAACAUUUUGGACCAUAAGGACUUUUUUUCUUUUACCAAAAAUUAAGGUUUAUAAUACAUAAAAAAUGAAAGAUUUUUUAUAAACAUAUUUUCCUCUCUUCUCUUAAACUUGUAGGUAUAUGAAGGGGACAAUAAAAGGUGUCUUUUUAUUUAGUUUAAUACACAUUCCAUAAUUAUAGAAGCAUGGCUAGUUUAUUUUAAAAAACAUGGGUCUUAAAGUGUUAAGACCCAUGCGAUAAUGACGAGUUAAAAGGUGUUAAAUGCUUGGAAAACUAGCUUCUCAUACACUUGAUGAAAUCCGAAUUUGUCUCCUCCUUUUUUACUUUCUCAAGUUUUGUUAAGAACAUAUAAAUAACACUUGCAUCGUAUCCUCACUUGAAGUUCAUACUAGUCAUGAACUUCAAGCUUAAGAGUUAAGAGUUUAUGGACCAGAAUCUACUUCAAGUUGGGUCAUUAUUAGUGUCUCAAAAGUUUCACAUUCUCCAUCACCUUCCAAGCCUGCCAACAGGAACUAAAUAAAUAUAAAGGUUGUUAUUUGUUCAUCUUCUUCUUUGGUGAUUAUUUUUCUUUCCAAACUUUGCAAGAAGAUCCUUGGUGGAUAUAAAAUGCUUUUAUGUUAGUUGAAAUUAUCAAGUCUUCUGUUGCCCAAAUCUUGUGUUUAUGAAGUUAUUUUUGAAUAAAAACCCAAUACAAAGAUGUAUCGAGACUUGAGACUUAGCAAUUGGUGUCCAUGCAUGAAGAGAGAUAUAACAUGGUAUGUGGAGAGAUACUUGACAUCUCAGAUGGUCAAGGUUGAGCAACAGAGACCGCAUGGAAAGUUGCGGCCCUUAGCGGUUCCCAUGUGGAAAUAGGAACAUAUUACCAUGGAUUUCAUGCCGAGGAAGGCCAAGGGAUUCAAUGUUAUUUGGGUGAUUGUCAAUCGUAUGACUAAGAGUGCCCAUUUUCUCGCCAUCCAGGAGAGUUCUUUGGUCUAGAAAUUGGCCGAUGUGUAUGUUUGCGAGAAUGUAUCUCACCAUGGGGUACCAGUUUCUAUUAUAUCUGAUCGUGAUGUUCAGUUUAUCUACCGAUUUUGUAGAGAUUUCACGAGGAUUUGGGUUUGAGACUACAUUUUAGUACGACUUAUCAUCACUAGACCGAUGGUCAUAGUGAGCGGACCAUUCAAAUGCUCAAGGAUACGUUGAAGGAUUGUUUCAUCAAUUUUGAUGGUAGUUGAGAUUUCUACCUUGCUCUAGCUGAUUUUUCUUACAAUAACAACCGUUACUCUAGCAUUAGUGCACCACCGUAUAAUCUUCACUAUUGGAGGAUGUAUCGUACACUAGUUUACCAGGGAGAGGUUGGCCACAACGUCAUGGGGUGGAAUGAGGUGGUCCUCCAAACGACGAAGCUUAUUCAACAAAUCAGGCAGAGGUUGCAGACAACUCAGAGCCGACAGAAGACUUAUGUUGGCCGACGAUGAUACGAGUUAGAGUUUAAAGUCGGAGAUAUGUUUUUACUAAAGGUAUCACCUUGAAGGGUCUUAUACGCUUCAGGAUGAGGGUCAGAUGGGUCCCCGAUUUAUUAGACCAUUUAAAGUAGUCACUAGGGUAGGCAAGGUAGCUUACCGACUGGAUCUGCCUGAGAAGCUUAGUCAGAUUCGCUGCACCUUCCAUUUAUAUUAACUUUGUAAGUGUGUGGUUGACAAGUCAAUGGUGGUUGCUUUGGAUGAGAUUUAGGUUGAUAAGCGACUAAAUUAUGUGGUGAGACGGCUUCUAUUCUGGAUAAGAAGAAAAAUGCCUUGUGCAACAUGGUGGUACCUCUAGUCAAGGUUCGGUGACAACAUAGGAAUGGUUCAGAGUUGCCUGGGAGCUAGAGUCGGAGACGUGUGAGCAUUAUCUAGAUCUAUUUGUUGCUGUGGAUUUCGGGGAUAAAAUUUAGUCAAGUAGGGGGAUAGUUGUAACAGCCUAUCCUUGUAGGUAAAAUUUAUUUGUUUAAAAAUAAUGUUAAAUGUGGAGUUUGGUCCUACGUUGGGUGUUGGGUUAUCUCCUACGCAAUGUGUAUGAGGGAAUCAAAUUGCGGGGACUUAAUGAUCUACACCCUAUGUAUAUCAAGCUACGUAGAGCGUAACAGCCUAGAACCAAAACCCUAAUUUUAGGGUGUUGAGCUCUAUUUAAAGGUUGUAAUACCCUUAAGAUCAUUCCAUCAUAAGCCUUUAUCUUACCAAAUGUCCCCUUUGAAACCCUAUUUCUUUUCUGGUGUAUUUUUGAGCUCGAGAGUGUUUUUGUGUGCAUUUUGAAGAAAGAAGAAGGUGUUAAAGUUGUUUGGAAGCUUGAAUCAGCUUUGGCUCCAAAAGUUCCUUUCCUUUAUCCAUCUCCAUAAGGUAUAAAGUUUACUCCUUGAUGAGUUUUUAUGAUAGAUCUAGCUUUGCCUUAGGUUUUCAUGCUUUUUGUCCCCAUAGCCAUGGUGUAUAUCAGCAAGUGCUACUCCAGACCAUUGACGUGUCAUUUUCAGAUGGAUUUAGGGUUGCUAAGCCAUAAAGAUGAGAGCUUGUUCACUCUCAUCCUUCUAUGCAUGUGUUUUUGAGCUUUAAGUAAAUUUUUGGAGUUAGGUUAUGAGUUUGUGCACUUGGUAUGCAUUCAAAUGGAUAAAGUCAGAGACUUUAUCCAUUAAGACGUUUUUAAUAUUGGAGAUCAGGUAGUUGGAACAGAUACUGGUUUGAAUUAAUGUCUUAAUGAAUGAGUUGAGGUUAUAGGGAUUACACAGGGCGUAAUUUCCCUUGCAUGGGGUGUAGCCUAUUGACUGUUGACUUGGACCGAGUUUAACUUUAGGUAAUUUGGUUUAUUAUAAGUUGUACAUUGAGGUUUGGUCCUUAUGUUUGUAUAGCUGACCUAUAGAGCCGGUAUUUGGAGUUAUUUUCAUUUCAACUAUCUUCUUGACUUUGAGGUGAGUUUUCCUCACUAUACUCGUGGGUCAAAGGCACCAAUCAGACCCACUAAGUUGUGUUGUGUAACCUGAUUUAUAGGAUGAUGUUAUGUUGUCGCNUGUUAAAUUCUAGAUCUGUAUGAUUAUCCGUAUUGUUGUUUAUAUGUUUAUCUAUUGCAUAUUUCGACAUAGUGUCGGUGGGUUAAAUCAGUAUUGCUUUUUACGGAAGGCAGACAAACCGAAGGCAAUCCAGUCGCGAAACUGUGGGUCAGGAGCAAUCCAUUCAGGAGACUUUGGGUUAGGGGCAAUCGAUUCGAGAAACUAUAGGUCAGGGGUAAUCUAGUUGGGAGACUCUAUACCCACCAUGGAUGUUUGUAUAGGUUUUGUUGUGAUGGGUAUUUUAGGGGAAUUCACUAAGCUUUGGCUUGCAGUUUCAUUUCAUGGUUUCAGGUACAUCAGAUGAUUAGGGAGAGGCGAAGGUGUGAUAGUACACAUCAUCUUGGGAUUUGUAUUGAGAGAUGUUUUAUAUACUCUAAUUUUUAUGACAUUGUUUGGAGAAUGUGGUUUUGUAUGACUUAUGGCUUAUAAAAAUGGUCUUUAAAAAAAAUUUACUAUGAUUUUUGGGAUGUUACAACACAAGUCAAUUAUUAAUUUAAACAUGUGUAUUUAGUCUUUGACUCUUAGUUAAUCAACUAAUCUUUAAUCAAUUAAUUAAACCAAUAGAUUUCUAAUUUCCAGUUUAAGUAAAUUGAUCAUCUUGCAUGUGCUUAUAAUCGAGUCAUACAUAUAAGAGAGAGGAAACAGUUAUUCGGGAGUAGAUCCUUGACGUCACGGAGGAGGACCUAUCGCACCGCAAAUUGAGAUAAAUAUGUGAUUUAUGAAAACGGAUUUAGGAGUCACCAUGUCGACCCUUCACACUACGUAGAGUGACGUACGUGUCGUGAAGAUGAUGUGAUAGCUAAGAACCCUUAUGAAUUUAUAGGUAAUUUCUAAAAUAAUUAAGACUAUUUAACAUUUAGAAAACCAGAUCAGAUUUAGAUCAUGCAACCUCAAACAUAAAAGCUAGACACCCUAAGUGCUAUAAAUAUAAACAUGUUGGCUUUGAUACCAUUAUUGGGCUAUGAGAGUCCUUAGACAAUGAAAGAUAUAGCGGAAGCAAUAUUAAACAGAACUAUAAAGGACCUCAAUAGACCUAGGCAACUAGUAAAUGAACAAAAUCAAGAGGCGUAGAAUAGAUACACUUGUGUGCUUCGAAUUCUUUCAUUUCACAAGUUGACCGGACUUGGAUGAUCCAAUGUAGAAUCCCUUUUUAUGAUUGCUCCCAGGAUACAAACAACAAACUGAAAUCACCUAACUAGAAGCACACCAUGAAUUAGAACAAUCCGAAUCUGGAAUUAACUUUUCACAGUUUGUUGACUCCUUCUUCGUGGUGCGGUAAUCAACUUUUAGGGUUUUUCAAGACUUUGAGAACACCUCCGGGUUUUUUAGGAACUUGACUGAUUUUCUAAACUUUAAUUUUGGUUUUAGGCGUAUCAAUUUAUAGUGGAAUGAUUCAAACUCUAAAAUAUAAACAUAAAGGUCUUGAUAAUUAAACCUAACAUUAGUAAUUAUCCUAAUAUGUAACUCAUUUAUUUCGAACGUUCCAGAAUCUCCUAGUUUAGUUUAAUUAAUCAAAAUUUAAUUAAUUAACAAAUGAGUCCCUAUAAUUUUUUUUUUCACUUUUUCAGUUUUGCUCAUAUUUGUUCUUGAGUGUAACCCAAAAAAGAGGUUGCUAUUCAUAUUAAUAUUACUCACUUGUUGUGUCUAUAAACACCAUUCUCCAAUAGUUUAGAGCAACAAUAAAUUAGACGACAUGUGAUCAGUAAGAAACGAUCAAUAGAGGAUCACAAACAUGUCAUUACACAAAUAAAAUACAACACAUAACCACAACCAACCAAAAAUACUUCCCCAAUCGAAUGACACGUCAGAAAACAAAGGCUUCCCAGACAUAAUUAUUGUCAAUUAAAGCUUCAUUAGGCGGACUUGUGGCCUCAAAAUAUGCUCCUUGUGUAAAAUCAACAAAUUCAUCUUAAAUUAUAUAGAUGAUAGAUAACAGAUACACUCUAAGUAUCUAUUUCUUUUAAUUAAGGUUAUGGAUGAUUAUGUCGGGGUUAAUCUAAUUUUAGAACCAAAACCAAACCUAUUUUUUUUAUUUUCGCUUUUAAAAAAGUCGAUAGUUUACUGUUCUUUUGAUUUUGGUGUUCAGUUUAUAUGUUUAGUCUUGUUAUUUUUCUGUUCAUUUGAGAUUUUAUACUGAUGAGCAUCGGUACCGGCCCGAGAAGCGAACUUGGUUUAAAAUAGGAACCGAACCAGACCGCCAAUUUUACUGGUUUCGGUUCUACCGGUUCUUACCGGGCCUUCAAUGUUGGAAUCGGUCCUCGAGAAAUAGCAACAUAUUUUGAGAAAUAUUUCGGUAACGGUUUCAGUUUUUUCCGGUUCUAAAAAUCCACAAGAAUAUCGUCACGGUCUCAGCCCAAUAGUUAUAUCCUGUUCCGAUUCCGGUGCCGGCCAGUUCCCAGUGCAAAUGUUCAUCCCUAUUUUAUACUCUCUUUUUGUUUUUCAUUAACCAUGCACGAUCACUAAGUUUAAAAAUCUUAGUUUACAAAACAAUAAAAAUAAAAUAAAGAUUAUAACAUCAACAUUACUAUUGUUGAAGAAAACACAUCAUGUAAAAUCGAAACACAACCGCAUUAAAAUACUUUUCCUUUCCUUUGAUUGUAAAUGCAUCAACAUAUUAUCAUCUCUCGUCAUUCUACUUCCCUCCUUUUUCUUUUUAGUGUUCACCCUGAAUUAGGAAAACCAUGUCGUUGGGGUGUCAGUUUGUGUGGUACUAAAUUGGUGGGGUUGUGCUAUUGGUUGUAUCAAUGCAUCACAUCACCUCACUCGCCUUCCAUCCUAAGCUCUUUCGUAAGCUAUACUUAACACUCUUAUAAGUUAUAAUAGUGGUGGGUAUAGCUUAGAAAGGAAUGGAGGUGAGUGGGCUUAUGUUGAAAAAAAGUUAGUACUUAUACGUUGUAGCUGGCUAUGCACGAAGUUGAAAAAAAUAUUUUAAAACGUCUAUUUUGUUUUGCUAAAUUGGAAUUGCACAAAGAAAAUGCCCUCCUCGUUGAUUUAUAUUGUCGUUUGUAUUAUUGAAUUUGAAUUUUCUUUGUACAUUUCAGUUUUUGAUAGUAAUCAAUGGUAAAACAAAUAUCUAAUCGCACGUUUAUAAUCAAAAUAAUAAGAUAUUUGUCUGCUAUUAUCUCAUUUUUUUUGUUAUAAAUAAGAAUAUCUUAAAACUUAAAUAAUUAUAAACUUAUGCAAUAGGUUAUUUGAUUAAAUUGAUAGUUUAUCCAUCAAUAAAGACAAACUUUUACAUUAGGAUUAAAUUGAUAGUUUAUCCAUAAAUAAAGACAAACUUUUACAUUAUGAUCAAGCUUCUUUUGUAAGACCCAGUGUUAACCCCGAAUUCUUAAACUUGGUUUCAGUGAUCGAAUCAAUCCGCUCUCUCAUCUCCUCUGUCAAAUAAUUUUUCCAAUCUCCCACCUUUCCUUUUCUGAAAAAAUCCCGAUUCUCCACCGCCACCUGCGCGGUAAACUUCUGAGCACCGCCGCCUUCAUUAUUCACCUCAAGAUUACUCAAAUUCUCAAAGCUACAAAGCUUCACAAUCUCUGCCACCACCCCUCUCUUCUCCUCCUCCGCCGAAAAAGGCAUUCCCAUGAACGCCGCCAACUUCUUCAGCUCCACCGACGUUUCUUUCUUCAUGUCCUCAUACUUCAAGAACAAGAUCUUCUCAGGUGAUUCCUGGCUAGCUUUCCAGUAUCCCAACACAUGGUCCCAAAAUGGUCCGUACUCAGAGACCCCAUUGCAGAAAAGCUCGUAAGCUUCAUUGAACGAAAGGGGUGGUAGUUCUUUCGAUCUAAGUUUGCUCAUGAAGUGCCACUUGGAAAUGAGUGCAUCUUUUGGAUCCCUACACACGUAUACAAACUUGCAUGUCGAGGAGGGUGAUGACAUUGAGGUCGGUAACAAGCUAUGAGCAAAGUGUGUGGCGAACAUUCGAGGAGAAGGGAGAUGCUCAAACUUAGUUAUCGGAUAAUCAAGAAAAAUGUGUGUGUCAAGGAAAGGGAAAGCACUCUGGGGCCCGUUGCGACGAAGGGGAUGAUCAGAAAAACUGUAACGGUGGCGGUUGGUGGUGGCGAACAUGAGAGCCUUUAGCCAGGUGGUUCCACACUUCAUGAAAGCUGCAAGGAAGAUGUCGGUGGAUUGGGCAUGGAAGUAGUUGUUGAUCAUUAAUAAGCCUUUGAUAACUUGGGGACUCAACCAGAAACCUUCGUGUAGAUAGAUGUUUGCGCUUCUCCAGCCUUUGUCUUUGGGGAGAGUUGCAAGAAGGCUUUUGAGCUUUUCAUCGAGCUUCUUGUAGGCUUGUUCUUCUUCUGUAGGGAUUUGGUUUUCGCCAGUAAUAGAGGUGGGUUGGUGGCAUGUAUUUUGAUCGGGAACAAGGUAUGUCGACAUACCGUUGGACUGGAUUUUCAGGGAGUGGAGGUAGUUCUCAACUAAUUUUAUAUAUGUAGGAGAAACUUGAAACAAAAAGCUUCUUGUAUAUAUGGUAAUUGCUUUUGAUAGAUACACGUUUUAAUUAACUUAAAUACAAAACGAUGUAACAACUGUCAAUUAAUUGCUUAUUUAUGUUACGUUGCCAAAUUCAAAAACCAGAUUAUUAAUAUAUUGGCGUCUCAAAAGGACAUAAAUAUAAUAGUAAGAUACAUGUUAGCAAUUGAAGAUAAUAUUAUUGUAUAUCAAACCCUGCCAAAGAUAAUAUUAUUGUAUAUCAAACACUCCCUAAGGCUCAGUGGGGUUGUCAAAACCUCCUAGGGCGUUUCACCCUUACUAAAAGCUUGGGGUGUAAAUUAAUGAUACGACACGACAAAAAUAUACAAAACGAAAUCGGGACGAAAUCAAAAUUCGAAUUUGUUUUUUGUGUCGUGAUCGUGUAAAGUAUAAAAAACAUGAUGUCGUGUCGUGUUGUUCGUGUUUACAAAUCCACACGAAGUUGAUAUGAUUGACCAUUUGUUUGUCGUGUUUUUCGUGUUUGUCUUUUUUAUCGUGUUAUAUAUGAUUAAAUAAGAAUUAAAUAACAUAAUAGUUAUGUAAUAUUAUCUUUGUCGUGUCGUGUCGUGAUGUCGUUUUUUAAUUGGUUCGUUUUCGUGUUGUUGUGUCGUAUUGUGUCAGACAAAAACACAACAUAUGCCUACUAAAAACCGCUUUGCGCCAAGGGUCAUCGCCAGCUUCCAUGUGCCACUUGGUAGCCAAGGAGAGAGGAGAGUAAAGAGAGAAGGUUGGAUUUGGGCUGUGAUUGGUUUUUUAAAUUUUUUUUAAAUAAAAUCUAUUAAAAUCACAGACUACCAUUUUUUAAUUUUCUUCAUUAAUAUAUACAUGCAAAGACUAUGUGACAAUCAAAAAAACCUACAUGCAAUGUAUUAGGAGCAAUAUAAAUAUAAAUAUAACAAUAAAAUACAUAUAUACAAUCAUUAUUAAUCUUAGGUUUUCUGUUUUAAGUAACAAAUAUUUGCAAGUGAUGUCCAAUCUUAUAGUUAGGUUGAUGCAUUUAGCUUUAUACUUAUGUAAGGUGUAAGGUUGGGAGUUCGAUUUCCUUAAACUACGUUUUUUGGUAUCAUGCGUAGGGAAGUUUUUCCUGAAAAUCCCUAUGGGGUUGAGUUUGCCCUGUAAAAAAGCUCGAACCUAAGGUAAACAUCGAAAAUAUUAUAACAAAUAUUUAUUGUAUGUAAUUUAUAAAACGUUGAUAUUUGAUAUCUUGGUAGGUGGUAUACUUGGCCUCCUAUUAGUUAGAUAUUUCGAUCUAUAAUAUUUAAUGGGUAAAUCUACCCUAAUAAAUGAAAAUGACUUUGCUACAUGUCCUUUUCUCAUUCAUUUGGACACAUGGCAUUUUCUAGAAAUUUUAAAAUUUUCUAUUUUCCACGUGUCAUUUUAUUAUAUUUUUUAUUUUAUUAAAUUAAAAUCCACAUUUAAUAUAUAAGGUAAUAUAUAUGUAAGGUAUUUAUUAGAAAUGGUUUAUAUAUGUAAUGUAUCUAAUGCAUUAAAGUCUCAUUAAUUUUAAUAAUUCAAAAAAUUUGUUAUUUUUCUUAUAUGGGUCUCACACCUAGUAUAAUCAUAAUAAAGUAGUGAUUACCAAAAACAUAACGGGUUGGUUUAUCAUUUACGGCAAGACAUUAUGUUUCCUUACCUUAUUAAUUAAAUUUAGUCCGAUUUUAUCUCAGGUUUGUAGUGGGUUGCUCAUGUUGGUGGUGGAUCCUUGUUGUCCAUUGUUGGUGGUUUAGAUUUGCUUUUAUCCCCCUCGUGUUUGUUGGUUCUUGGAGCUCGCUUAAGUAUUGCUAUUUAAUUGCAUUUUGGAUGCUGGUGCUCGGAUUCUAGUCUUGAAUACCCUUUUGUUUCAAGGGUAAUUUCGGUUUUGUGGUGUUGUUUAGGAAAUUUUCUGCAGCUGCUCCUGCUUGGGUACUCUAUUUUUUGUUUCUGUGGGCUUUUGUCCCCAAGGGUAUUUUUAGAUUUCGUUGGUGUUACGGAGUCCUUUUAACUCUUCAAGCAUCUGCUAGUCGGUUUAAUUUGGAUGUCUUUCUUAACCACACCACUAAAAAAGUGUCACCAACUCAACGUCAUUUCAGUUUCACUAUAAAUUCACUAUCAAACCACUAGCCUUGGAAAUGGUUACAACUCCACAAUUUUUAUCUUUUUAUUUUUUUUAUAUUUUCUUUUGUCAUUAAAUUAAAUAAAAAAACAUAAAUAAAUAUUUUACAUUAAUUGAAAAUACAUUGCGUUAAUUAAAAACACACAAAUAUAAAUCCUAAAUCACUUUAAAAAACACAAAAAAUUAAAACAUAAAUUACUAAAAAAACAUAAAACAUACCAAAUAAAACUUAAAUAUUAAAACACUAGAACCUAAUUUCCAUAUUUUUCAUGAACUGUUGGAUUUUUAGAAACGUCGCUAGAUAUUUCCGGGUCGAAAUCCAGUUGCGGUUUUGUGUUUAUGAUCUGAAGAUCGGUAAGUGUUAUUUUUCAGCAACGAGCAUCCUCUAUUGAUUCAAAUUUUUUUUUUCUAGAAAACUUAGAGCUUUGUCUAUUUUUUCCACAAGUACGUCUUUGCUAAUCGUUUUUCUGCUUGAAGACCCAGCCUUUCUCGAUUUGUCCCUUCUCGGUGGUCGAUGAAGUUGGACUUCCGAUGGACCCUCCCCCUCAAUGUUGUCGAAGUCAUCAUUGAAGUCGAGGCCAAAACCCAUAUCGGACUAGGAAGUUUUUGGUCUUUUGUUGGAUCCAGUAGUAGAUCUUGAUUGCGUCUCACCCGGAUAAAUAACCCAUUUUGGAACUUUACGACAAACUUCUCAUGAUUUUUGGUUGCCGAAUUGUUUACCAUUAUUGGUAAUUUUGUAUUGGUAACAUGUGGUCGAUAAAAUAUUAAAAUCGUUGCUACCACUUUUGUGCAUAUUUUUAAGAUUGUCCAAUAUGUCAUUAAAUUAUGUGCAAAUCGCUUGUAGGUCACUUCAUUUUGCAUUGAACGAAUCGUAUGUCUGCUCCGUUUUCCUUCCUAAUAGCGCAUGAAAGUGGUCUAGAACAUGAUUCUAAAAACUUUGACCCUAUUGCGCAUUUCCGUUGUCAAUGUCUUGCGAUAUGAAAAUCCAAGCUUUCACUAAAAUUUCCUCCUCGUCUUCGGUCCAUUGUGUAGUUCUCUUUUUUUUGUUCUUUUCCCUUUUUGUCUUCUUCGAGUUGGUUGUUGUGUUUCUUGGACCCGUUCCUCGUUGCUGUUGUCGAGGUUUAUAGGUUGGAAUUGAGAUAAUGAGACUUGAGAUGGUUAUGAACGUUGUGCGUGAAAUUGUUAAUGUUGAAAUUGUUGAGAAGGUUGUUGCUGAAAGGCUUUGGAAUUGGGGUUUAUUGAAUUGUUGUGGCUGUUAUUGUUGGUUGUAGUUUGGGUAGUAUGAAAGAUUGGUAAAAUAGAGGUUGUUGUUGGAUUAGGGAUGAUAUCAAUUACAUGUAAAAAUUUGCAUAUAGAUCAUUUGGAGUGUUUGGAAUAUUUGAAGUGGGUGGGGUAUUUUGAUAUGGAUCCAUUUGAUCAAGAAAAAAUAAGAAAAUAUAAAGAAGUUGUGGGUUUUUCUAGUGCGAAAUGUUUAGAAAAUAGGUAGUAUUUAUAGUUGUAGUUUGUGUGAUUUUAAAACUAAAAAUUAAAAAAAAAAAGGGUCCAACGUACACAACAAACAGUCAAAAAGUGGACCGUUGCUGCUACAUUCACUUCUGAUUCGUCAUCUUUACCCGUGUUCGCAUCCCCAUCACAGCCAAGCCACCGAACAUUGAGGCGGUGUUCACACGUGACUUGGCUUGCCAUAUAGGAAACUCACGUUGUUUUAGGGUUGCUCUAGUUUUUUUAGUACUUAUAUUUGUAAUUUUGUUCUUGGGGUUUUGUUGUUGUUUGUUGAAAUAUCCCAAAAAUACGGUCCAAAAUUUUCGUUUUGAUUAUUUAUAAAAACCAUAAAUACCAUUUUUCAUUCCAAAAAAACAUAAAUAAUAUAUCUCAAAUCAUCAUAAUAAAAUAUUGUAUCAAAAUCAUGUGCGAAAUAUUAGAGUCUAAACAUCCCUGGCUAAAAGUUGUGGUGUGUGCCAUGCAGUCAUCCCGAGCUUUUCCGCUUGCUAGCAGAAGUACUUGAAACAAAAACUGAAAACUGUAAGCAUGAAACUUAUUGAGUCUCCCCAAACUACCACAUACCAUACAUUGAAUCACAUAAUAACAUACAUUGGGCCUUGUCCGCUACAUCUGGCCCCACCCGGCAUCGGACCGAAGUCUAGCAUCGGGCCCCACCCGACAUCAGACUUAAGUCUGGUAUACAUAUAUUAAUCAACAAGCAUAUAACAUAGACAUAUAACAUAAAAAUAUAAGCAUUCCUCGAGCUUUCCCCGACAUCGGACCGAAGCAUGGUACACAUAGACAUAUCAUAUAAGCUAAACAUUCCUCGGGCUUGCUUCAGCAUCGGACCGAAGUCCGGAACACAUAAGCAAACACAUGCCAAAAUCAUGAAGACAUCAAGCAUACAAACAUUCCUCGGGCUUGCCCCGGCAUCGGAUCGAAGUCCGGAAACAUAUAACUACAUCGGGCUAACCCUGAUAUUUAUAACAUACAUAAACAGGCCAGCCUUGGUGCCUUAGACCCGUUCCUACUUGAAGAGGACUUACCUCUCAAGUUGACUACUGAAAAAUCAUGUGAGGGAAUCUCUGAUGGCUGCUCCAACGACUCCCCGGGUAUCAUUAUCACAAUAAACACUUAGUCAAAAAAAGAGAAUCCUUCUAAGGGUAAAAUGACCAUUUUACCCCCUGAGCUCUGCUGGAAGAUCCAAUCGGUACGCCACCUUGCCCACCCGGGCUAUAACCCUAAAAGGACCGAUAUACCUGCGGCCUAGAUUUCCCCGCUUCCGGAACCGGAUGACACUUUUCCAAGGUGAAACCUUCAGGAGGACCGUGUCCCCGACCUAGAACUCCAGGUCCGAUCGGUGUCUGUCAUCGUAGCUCUUCUUCUGAAUCUGAGUAGUCUGAAGCCUGCUCCUGACCUGCUGGAUCGACUCUGUAGUCUGAAGUACUACCUUAGCACUCCCUAUGACUCUCUGACCGACUUCGCCCCAACAGAUUGGGAUCCUACACUUCCUCCUGUAGAGCAUCUUGAAAGGACGUCGGUCUAUGCUAGUGUGGUAGUUGUUGUUAUACAAAAAUUCUGCUAAUUGAAUAUAUGUAUCCCAACUGCCACCGAAAUCCAAGACACAUGCGCAUAGCAUGUUCUCGAGACGAGUACCCAUCUCAUCAUGAAACCGCUUCCAGAAUCUGGAAGUGAAACGGACAUCUCGGUCUGACACCACCGAGACAGGCACUCCAUGUCGUGCCACUAUCUCAUGCACGUAAAUCUCAGCCACCUUCUCGGCCAAUAUGGUCUCCUGGAUCGGGAUAAAAUGAGCACUCUUGGUCAACUGAUCCACGAUGAACCUUAUCGAAUAAACCCCAUGUACGGUCCAGGGAAGCUUAGUGAUGAAAUCCAUAGUGAUAUCUUCCCGUUUCCACACGAGAAUGUCUAACGACUGCCUCUUGUCGUGGGGACUCUGGUGCUCUACCUUGUGAAGGGUUUUGAGCAUUCUAACACUCCUAUGGUGAACAUGCAAGCCUAAAUACCUUGGAUCUAUGUUUUCUCUAUUAUACAUCCAAACUUGAACUUUCCAAGGUAUUACCCUAACUAGCAUACAAUCAUUGAUACUUGGGCAAUAUAAACAAGUUAGAAGACAUACCUUUUCAUGUAAGUUGAUUCCAUGGAGCUUAACAGCCUAGUGCCUAAAGUAUGACACCUCAAAUGGUUCACACAACGUCACCAACAACUUGGAAUAACUUGAGAGAUAAGGUUCCUAUGCUCAAAUCGGCUAGCUCUCAUGUGUACACACACUAGUGCCAAUUUCUUGAGCCAUGUGGUCCUUAUAUAUUGUGGCUAUUAGGGUUACACCAUGUAACUCAUGUCUUUCCAUAUUCUUCAUGCUCCAUGGGUUAAAACCUCCAUGGAGUAUCCAUGGGUUACUUCAUGGGUUUAGCCCAAGAUGAAAAACUAUGGAUCAUAAGCUGACAUAUAUAAGAAUGAAUGAUUUACACAAUCAAUCCUCAUAUAUUUAAUUAGUCUCCUUUUGAUGAAAAUAUAUUAACAAAUCAUAAAUAUCUUUUUUCUCACAAAAGUCAAUCCAAAUUGUUACGAUGCCAUGCAACCCAAAUGGACCAUGCCAAUCGGGUCAAGUACAUACCAAUUAUAGUUAUGGACUUAGACACUAGUCCAACAGUCUUCCACUUGGAUAAGUCUAAAACUAUUCUUGCGUAUGACUUCACAACCCGACUAGAAAUCGUAGCUCUUAAAAGAUGUUGUCGAACUCUGAACAAAUCAAUGAUGCGUCCAUUAGAGAAGGGAUCAUAUAUUCCUGCAUUCUAAAUAUCAUAUGGAAUGAGACAUGGAUUAUAAUCAUUCUCUUUGUCCAUUUGUUUUUUCCCGAUUUUUGAUUUAUGACAACCAACUAAUUGAACAAAUCACAUUAGUCCAGGAUUCGCCAAGCACUCUGGGUGUCGUCAGUAAAUCAUUGAGGGGCCCACAGAUAUCGCUUUUAUCCCUCAAAGGGUAAAAGGAAUGGAUAAACUUCAACUCGUAUGCUUGUUCUACUACUUGUUGAAUCAUACACUAAGGCACGUUUUAUAACAUCAAGUUACCAAUGCAUUUUCGUACAAUCAAUGUAUAACCAACUCAUAGGCAACAACUCAUAUCUAUAGGUUUGAAGAAUAUAAGAUAUUAUCGUCUCAUGAUCACUCGUGAUCAAAUCCAUGAAAUGAGUCAAAUGAGCGUGGGUUUAAUAAAAUACUCAGAAAUUUUUAGCACUCAUGAAUGUUGCAGCAACUCUUGCUAUGUCCACUACCUUGGACAUCUAUAAACCAGUUUCAUGACAGUCUUGAUUCAUAUCUACUUCCAACAUAUGACCGACUGUGGAUGGUUUGAAUAACUUAGUCAUUCAGGAAGAACGGCCUAGUUAUUCUGGAAGUCAAAGCUGUUGGGUUUUGAGCAUUCUAACACUCCUAUGGUGUACAUGCAACCCUAGAAAUCUUGGAACUAUGUUUUAUCUAUGAUACAUGCAAAAUUGAUUUUUCCAAGGUUCUUAACCUAUCUAGCAUACAAGGGAACUUUUAAUCAUAAAAGAUAGUAAGAAAACAUACCUUGUAGUACUUUGGAUUCCUUGAGAACCUUAUGAUCCUAGCACCCCAAGUGUGAUGCCUCAAAUGUCUCACACAACACCAAAUUCACUUGGAAUAUACUUGAGAGAAAUUUCACACACUUAGAAUCGGCUAUGCCCUCUUAUUUCGUACACUAGUGCCGAUUUUGGUCUGCAACAUAUUGCUUAUAUAGUGUAUUAUAAUUAGGGUUACACCAUGUAAACCCUAAUUUGACAUGGCUCUUCAUUUCCUUGAUCCAUGGGUUCAAAGAUACCAUGGAUCAUCCAUGGAGCAUCCUAUGGGUUUUAGCCCAACUUGAUAACCCAUGGAGCAUUAGCCCACUAUACAAGUAUGGGUGAUUUACACAAUCAACCCAUAUAUUUAAUUAGUCUCCUUUUUAAGCGCUUAAUUAAUACUAAACUAAUUAUUGAUCAAUACUAAUUAAAUAAUACAAUUAAUAUAUUAGAACUUAUCAUAUAUUAAUAAACCAUAAGUGUUAUUUCUCUCAUUUAGUUUAUUCAAUUGCAUGAUGCCAUGCAACCCAAAUGGACCAUGCCGGGUCGGGUCAAGUACAUACCAGAAAUAGUUAUGGACUUAGACACCUUANAUCCAAUAGUCUCCCACUUGGAUAAGUCUAAUAACUAUAUCUGCAUGAAUAACUUCAGGAACCGAUCAUCAAUCGUAGCUGUUUCAAGGUCUCGCAGAACUGAGAUGACGAUGAUAUUCCAUUUAAGAUAAGUGAUCAUAUAAUCCUCUGUUCUAGAUAUCAGCUGGAAAAAUACAUGGAACAAUGUCUUACUUAUUGUCCAGCUGUUUGUUUCUAGAUUUCCGAUUUGUUUGACUUAGAGCUUAAGUGAAUAGAUCAACUUAGUUCUGACCAGGGCCGAUACAUGUGUAACAUCCCAAAAUUCAAGGCCAAAAAUUUAAUUUUUAAAUAAAUU